AUGUGCGGGAGCCCCGGAGCGGUGCCGGGAGCGGUGCCGGGAGCGGUGCCGGGAGCGGUGCGAGGGGCGGUGCCGGGGAAGAACCCGGAGCGGGGCGGGAGCAGCGGCUGGGGGAGCCCCUCGAGCAGUGCGGGGAGGAGCAGCCGCACCCCGCGGACCGCGGCCGGCAGGAAGCAGCGCAGGGACCGGGAGGGAAGUGCAUCGCCCGCGGCCGCAGGAGAACCCCGGACCGCGCAGAGGCCCCGCUCCCUCCAGCCCGCCGCGCAGAGCGAAAGCGGAAAAAAAGGCGGCGCGGCCCGGCCCUUCCCCGGGCCCGGGCCCCUGCUCCCCGGCGCGGACGCCGCCACAGCUCGGCCCGCACUCCCGCCGUCGCCGGGGGUCCGAGGGCGAGGAAUUCCCGCGGACGCGGAGCCGGGAGCGCCCGCCGCCACCCCCGCGCCCGGCCGAAGGACCGCGGGCUGCCCCGGCCUCCCUCCCGCCCUCCCUCAGACACGCCCGCGCCCCGACAGGCCCCGACCCGGCCCGCAGGGGGCCGCACUCACCGCGGCCCGGCGCAGCAGGCGCGGAAGCCUGUCGGCGGCCCGGCGUCCUCCCGCGAGCCCGGCCGGCGGCGCCCCCCGUCAACGAGGCUCCCCAGCCCCCGCCCAGGCGGGGCCCGCGCUGACGCACGCUAACGUCACUGCCGCGACAGGGCGCCGCGGGCCGCGUCAGAGCGCAGCGCCACGGCCUCCUCCUGCGGGCGGGGCCGCCCAGGGGCGGGCGCUGUGGCGGGCCCUGCGGCUUCCUUUCUCCCUCCGCGCCUGUCGCCCUCCGGAGGCGCGGGGCACGCGCCGGACUCGGAGUCCUGCGGCCCGGAAGCCGGCGGAAACGCCCCGCCGCGCGGAGUCCCCCCGGGGCGGCACUGGCGUCGGCGUCCGCGCCUGCGCCGUGGCGCCUGCACGCGAAGGUCGCGCGGCCUGCGCGCCCUCUGGCCCUGGGGGCGGGGCCGGGAGAGCCCCUGGACGCUCGUCAAAGAGGGGUUACGGACUGGACUGCGUAGUCGCCUGCGAAUCCUGUGUCCUGUACGGUCGGUCGUGCAGUGUGUCACUAUCUUCAUAA
RNAcentral lists this long non-coding RNA (1098 nucleotides) under Canis lupus familiaris (dog). RNAcentral describes it as "lncRNA (ENSCAFG00030014631.1)". The record is from RNAcentral. Lineage: Eukaryota; Metazoa; Chordata; Mammalia; Carnivora; Canidae.